UACAGAGGUCUCAAGCGUUGUUCGGAUUCAUUGGGCGUAAAGGGUGCGUAGGCGGCGCGGUAAGUCGGGUGUGAAAUCUUGGAGCUUAACUCCGAAACUGCAUUCGAUACUGCCGUGCUUGAGGACUGGAGAGGAGACUGGAAUUUACGGUGUAGCGGUGAAAUGCGUAGAUAUCGUAAGGAAGACCAGUGGCGAAGGCGAGUUCCUGGACAGUGACUGACGCUGAGGCACGAAGGCCAGGGGAGCAAACGGG
This 253-nucleotide ribosomal RNA is filed under the name uncultured bacterium. Its description in RNAcentral is "partial 16S ribosomal RNA". It matches the Rfam family "Bacterial small subunit ribosomal RNA", at positions 524 to 776 of the family's 1533-position model. The record is from RNAcentral.